UACGUAGGGUGCGAGCGUUAAUCGGAAUUACUGGGCGUAAAGUGUGCGCAGGCGGCAAAGCAAGUCGAGUGUGAAAGCCCCGGGCUUAACUUGGGAAUUGCGCUCGAAACUACUUUGCUGGAGUGUGGCAGAGGAAGGUGGAAUUCCACGUGUAGCGGUGAAAUGCGUAGAGAUGUGGAGGAACACCAAUGGCGAAGGCAGCCUUCUGGGCCAACACUGACGCUCAUGCACGAAAGCGUGGGGAGCAAACAGGAUUAGAUACCCUGGUAGUCCACGCCCUAAACGAUGACGACUAGUUGUUGGAGGAGUUAAAUCCUUUAGUAACGCAGCUAACGCGCGAAGUCGUCCGCCUGGGGAGUACGGUCGCAAGAUUAAA
This 376-nucleotide ribosomal RNA is filed under the name uncultured bacterium. RNAcentral describes it as "bacterial SSU rRNA". It matches the Rfam family "Bacterial small subunit ribosomal RNA", at positions 524 to 898 of the family's 1533-position model. The record is from RNAcentral.